RNAcentral lists this ribosomal RNA (497 nucleotides) under uncultured bacterium. Its description in RNAcentral is "partial 16S ribosomal RNA". It matches the Rfam family "Bacterial small subunit ribosomal RNA", at positions 28 to 507 of the family's 1533-position model. The record is from RNAcentral.
GACGAACGCUGGCGGCGUGCCUAAUACAUGCAAGUAGAACGCUGAAGUGAGGAGCUUGCUCUUCUUGGAUGAGUUGCGAACGGGUGAGUAACGCGUAGGUAACCUGCCUUGUAGCGGGGGAUAACUAUUGGAAACGAUAGCUAAUACCGCAUAACAAUGGAUGACACAUGUCAUUUAUUUGAAAGGGGCAAUUGCUCCACUACAAGAUGGACCUGCGUUGUAUUAGCUAGUAGGUGAGGUAAUGGCUCACCUAGGCGACGAUUCAUAGCCGACCUGAGAGGGUGAACGGCCACACUGGGACUGAGACACGGCCCAGACUCCUACGGGAGGCAGCAGUAGGGAAUCUUCGGCAAUGGGGGCAACCCUGACCGAGCAACGCCGCGUGAGUGAAGAAGGUUUUCGGAUCGUAAAGCUCUGUUGUAAGUGAAGAAAGGGUGGGAGAGUGGAAAGUUCACACUGUGACGGUAGCUUACCAGAAAGGGACGGCUAACUACGUG